This 441-nucleotide ribosomal RNA is filed under the name uncultured bacterium. RNAcentral describes it as "bacterial SSU rRNA". It matches the Rfam family "Bacterial small subunit ribosomal RNA", at positions 339 to 796 of the family's 1533-position model. The record is from RNAcentral.
CUACGGGAGGCAGCAGUAAGGAAUAUUGGGCAAUGGGCGAAAGCCUGACCCAGCAACGCCGCGUGGGUGAAGAAGGUUUUCGGAUCGUAAAACCCUUUUCUGUGUGACGAGUAAGGACGGUAGCACAGGAAUAAGUCUCGGCUAACUACGUGCCAGCAGCCGCGGUAAAACGUAGGAGACAAACGUUAUCCGGAGUUACUGGGCGUAAAGGGCGUGCAGGCGGCAGUCUAAGUCUGGCGUGAAAUAACCCGGCUCAACCGGGUGAGGUCGUCGGAUACUGGGCAGCUAGAGGGCGGUAGAGGCGUGUGGAAUUCCGGGUGUAGUGGUGAAAUGCGUAGAGAUCCGGAGGAACACCAGUGGCGAAGGCGACACGCUGGGCCGCACCUGACGCUAAGACGCGACAGCAUGGGGAGCGAACAGGAUUAGAAACCCUAGUAGUCC